AGUGAACGCUGGCGGCAGGCCUAACACAUGCAAGUCGAACGGCCGCUCCGUAGUUACUGGCUGACGGGGGAGUAGCACGUCGGAACGGGGCGUUUGGCUCGGGAUUACUCUGUGACACGGGGGCUAAUGUCGGGUGUGUCCUGCUAGUACAAGAUUUAUCGCGCUUAUAGAAGCCCGCGUUUUACGAGCUUGGUGGUAUGGAAUCGGCUCACCAAGGCGUCGAUAAGUAGCGGGUCUGAGAGGAUGGCCCGCCACUCUGGGAGUGAGCCGCGGCCCAGACUCUUGCGGGAGGCAGCAGAGGGGAAUCUUGCGAUAUCGGCGGAAGGCUGACGCCGCCAUGCUGCGUGAAUGAUGAUGUUCUUAGGAUUGUACAAUUCUUUCAUCGGGGACGAUACUGACGGUACCCGGAGAAGAAGCCCCGGCUAACUUCGUG
This 433-nucleotide ribosomal RNA is filed under the name uncultured bacterium. RNAcentral describes it as "partial 16S ribosomal RNA". It matches the Rfam family "Bacterial small subunit ribosomal RNA", at positions 29 to 507 of the family's 1533-position model. The record is from RNAcentral.